RNAcentral lists this transfer RNA (73 nucleotides) under Mecistops cataphractus (African slender-snouted crocodile). RNAcentral's name for it is "tRNA-Asn". Lineage: Eukaryota; Metazoa; Chordata; Crocodylia; Crocodylidae. The record is from RNAcentral.
UAGGUAAAAACUCGUAGGUUGGAGUGAUUAGCUGUUAACUAAUGAUUUAUGGGAUCGAGGCCCAUUUACCUAG